This 230-nucleotide long non-coding RNA is filed under the name Setaria viridis. RNAcentral describes it as "long non-coding RNA (SVIR_LNC007187)". The record is from RNAcentral. Lineage: Eukaryota; Viridiplantae; Streptophyta; Magnoliopsida; Poales; Poaceae.
GAAUGAGUUACACACAUGCAUCACAUACACAAAGGGGCCAUACUAAUCACAAGAUACAUACAUACAUCCUGCAAAACAGAGUUAGGCGUUCAAACGUACCAAACUUCGGAUGCCCGAAACUCCAUCUUCCAAGCCAAAUUUGGGAAAUCUAAUUUCGCCGAAAAUGGCGAAGCGGUUGAAUUUCAUGUGUAACUUUUUCUGUAGAUCAAUUUUCAUAUAAAAUUCGCCCC